This 256-nucleotide ribosomal RNA is filed under the name uncultured bacterium. Its description in RNAcentral is "partial 16S ribosomal RNA". It matches the Rfam family "Bacterial small subunit ribosomal RNA", at positions 521 to 776 of the family's 1533-position model. The record is from RNAcentral.
UAAUACGAAGGUGGCUAGCGUUGUUCGGAUUUACUGGGCGUAAAGGGAGCGUAGGCGGUUUUUCAAGUCAGGCGUGAAAGCCCGAGGCUUAACCUCGGAAUUGCGCUUGAAACUGAUUGACUGGAGUAUGGGAGAGGAUAGCGGAAUUCCUAGUGUAGAGGUGAAAUUCGUAGAUAUUAGGAAGAACACCGGUGGCGAAGGCGGCUAUCUGGACCAUUACUGACGCUGAAGCUCGAAAGCAUGGGGAUCAAACAGG